This 459-nucleotide ribosomal RNA is filed under the name uncultured bacterium. Its description in RNAcentral is "partial 16S ribosomal RNA". It matches the Rfam family "Bacterial small subunit ribosomal RNA", at positions 339 to 795 of the family's 1533-position model. The record is from RNAcentral.
CUACGGGAUGCUGCAGUGAGGAAUAUUGGUCAAUGGGCGGAAGCCUGAACCAGCCAUGCCGCGUGAAGGAUGACGGCCCUAUGGGUUGUAAACUUCUUUUAUACGGGAAGAAACACCUCUACGUGUAGAGGUUUGACGGUACCGUACGAAUAAGCAUCGGCUAACUCCGUGCCAGCAGCCGCGGUAAUACGGAGGAUGCAAGCGUUAUCCGGAUUUAUUGGGUUUAAAGGGUACGUAGGCGGAAACUUAAGUCAGUAGUGAAAUCCCGCAGCUUAACUGUGGAACUGUUAUUGAUACUGGGUUUCUUGAAUAUUGUUGAGGUAGGCGGAAUAAGUAAUGUAGCGAUGAAAUGCUUAGAUAUUACUUAGAACACCGAUUGCGAAGGCAGCUUACUAAGCAAUUAUUGACGCUGAGGUACGAAAGCGUGGGGAGCGAACAGGAUUAGAUACCCUCGUAGUC